This 255-nucleotide ribosomal RNA is filed under the name uncultured bacterium. RNAcentral describes it as "partial 16S ribosomal RNA". It matches the Rfam family "Bacterial small subunit ribosomal RNA", at positions 524 to 776 of the family's 1533-position model. The record is from RNAcentral.
UACGGGGGGGAGCAAGCGUUGUUCGGAUUUACUGGGCGUAAAGGGCGCGUAGGCGGCCACCGCAAGUCACUUGUGAAAUCUCCGGGCUUAACUCGGAACGGUCAAGUGAUACUGUCGUGCUAGAGUACAGAAGGGGCAACUGGAAUUCUCGGUGUAGCGGUGAAAUGCGUAGAUAUCGAGAGGAACACCUGCGGCGAAGGCGGGUUGCUGGGCUGAUACUGACGCUGAGGCGCGAAAGCUAGGGGAGCGAACGGG